This 382-nucleotide ribosomal RNA is filed under the name uncultured soil bacterium. Its description in RNAcentral is "bacterial SSU rRNA". It matches the Rfam family "Bacterial small subunit ribosomal RNA", at positions 26 to 393 of the family's 1533-position model. The record is from RNAcentral.
AGAAUCAACGCUGGCGGCGUGCCUCAGACAUGCAAGUCGAACGAUUAAAGCUCCCUUCGGGGAUGCAUAAAGUGGCGCACGGGUGAGUAACACGUAAGUAAUCUACCCUCGGGUGGGGAAUAACGUUCGGAAACGAACGCUAAUACCGCAUAAUGCAGCGGCACCGCAAGGUGACAGUUGUUAAAGAUUUAUUGCCUGGGGAGAGCUUGCGGCAGAUUAGCUUGGUUGGUAAGGUACGGACUUACCAAGGCUACGAUCUGUAUCCGGUCUAAGAGGACGGUCGGACACACUGACACUGAAAUACGGGUACAGACUCCGUACGGGACGGCAGACAGGUCGGGUAAGUUUGGGACAAGGUACGGGGAAACCCUCGACCCAGACC